This 491-nucleotide ribosomal RNA is filed under the name uncultured bacterium. RNAcentral's name for it is "partial 16S ribosomal RNA". It matches the Rfam family "Bacterial small subunit ribosomal RNA", at positions 29 to 507 of the family's 1533-position model. The record is from RNAcentral.
GUGAACGCUGGCGGUAGGCCUAACACAUGCAGGUCGAACGGCAGCACAGUAAGAGCUUGCUCUUACGGGUGGCGAGUGGCGGACGGGUGAGGAAUACAUCGGAAUCUACUUUUUCGUGGGGGAUAACGUAGGGAAACUUACGCUAAUAACGCAUACGACCUACGGGUGAAAGCAGGGGAUCUUCGGACCUUGCGCGAUUGAAUGAGCCGAUGUCGGAUUAGCUAGUUGGCGGGGUAAAGGCCCACCAAGGCGACGAUCCGUAGCUGGUCUGAGAGGAUGAUCAGCCACACUGGAACUGAGACACGGUCCAGACUCCUACGGGAGGCAGCAGUGGGGAAUAUUGGACAAUGGGCGCAAGCCUGAUCCAGCCAUACCGCGUGGGUGAAGAAGGCCUUCGGGUUGUAAAGCCCUUUUGUUGGGAAAGAAAAGCAGCAGGUUAAUACCCCGCUGUUCUGACGGUACCCAAAGAAUAAGCACCGGCUAACUUCGUG